Molecule: long non-coding RNA, 2313 nt
Filed under: Homo sapiens (human)
Lineage: Eukaryota; Metazoa; Chordata; Mammalia; Primates; Hominidae
Description: PREDICTED lncRNA (TCONS_00007375)
Source: RNAcentral
UGCGCGCUUGAGCCGGAGCGGGGCUCGCCCCUCGUCGGCUCCCGCCGCCCAGCCGGUGAUCGCUCUCCGGCCGUCCCCGGCACCCUCGGCCCCCCACGGCGGUUGGUCCGGGCGGGGGAAGGAGAAAGUGAGACUCGGUGUCAUCACCAAUCCAUCGCCAGAAGGGGAGGAAACUGGAAUCCAGCAGCGGCGAGCAGCAGCUGGACGGUAACAUCUGGAAAUGGAAAGCCGACCUCCCCCUCCUCCUCCACCUCCUCCUCCUCCUCCUCCUCCUCCUCCUCCUCCUCUCACCCAGGAUCACUUCCAAAACCACUUGGCCUUCAGCCCCUGCCUCGGCCAGAGGUUUCAUUUUUAACUGAAUAUUUACGAAAGCUGAAAGCGUGCGAGGGGGGUGGGGUGGAAAUAGCGGCUGCUUCUUUUCCAAGGAUUUAUUUAAUGGGGAUGUGUUCAAGGCAAGACCGAAUUCAGAAGGAUAUCGACGUCGUGAUCCAGAAGUCCAGAGCUGAGGACUGCCUGUUUGCAGGGCCCGCCUGGCAGGACGACUGAGCAAGUCCUUGGAAAACCAGAGAUAUUAGAGCGGUGAAUCGCGCUGGUCACGUUGGACACCUGCGCGUUAGGAGAUUCUGGAGCCAGAGGGAGAGACCCCAGAAACUCCCCGGUCGGCGACCCAGCCCGAGACGCCUGGGGUCCCAAGGGAAGCUGAACGCCCGGUGGGCUCCCGGGAUGGUUCUUCCGGUUCUUUGUGCCGCCUUCACCCAGUGAAGGAGCCUGUAUCCACCCUGCCCAGUCGCUGUUGGGCUGCUGCGGAGCUUCCGCUGCCAUCUUCGGAUCCUGUGUUCCGCCCGGGGCUCCACCAGGGCAGGGAUGGUGGUGAGGGUCGCUCGUGGGUCCCCUGGCAGGGAGCAGGGUCUGGCACUCACAAGGGCGCACGACUAGGACUUGUCGAAUGAAUCCUUUGUCGCCUUUAGCUUUUAGUCCUUUGAAGAGAGGUGAGAGUGGAAAUCAAGAGAUUUUUUUCCACGGGGAAGUUCUUUUUACAAAGCGUUGAUUUCUCGGCACCCCGCGGGGCGGGCAACUGACACGGCCUCCGGUGCACCUUCUGCGCUGUGGAGCCUCUGGGGCUCAGCUGGGCGGUGGUCGGGUCGUGGGGCGGUAGGGCGGGAGCGGGGGAAGGGAAAAGCAAAAGCUGGAAAAGAAGCAGGGGAGUUAUGAACCAGACAUCCAGACCUCCUGAAGGGCUCGUGCAGACGUACAGGCGGGAUCUUCUGGAAGUGAGAAUUGUUUUUGUUUGUUUAUCUAUUGUAGCAGAAUGGGGAAAUGGAGAGAGAACCUGAAAGAGCCCCAAACUCGAGGACCUAUUGCUCCCCAAGAAUAACAUCUUCCAGAACUAGACAGAAAACUAGGCGUCUGGGAACCCUGAAAUCCUUGGAGGAGUAGAUCAUCAUGACCCUCUGUGUUCCUUUUGGCAAAUGACUUGCUUCCAUUGUUUGUUUGUUCAAUUGUCUGUUUGUUAAAUAAAUAAAACCCUUUUCAUGUAUCUUUAAAAUUACAUUGGUUCUAUUAUUUUAUGAUUACAAACGAUGCUGCAGUCAUCAUUCUUGUACACUUCUCAUUGGCCACUGGUGUAUUUCUAUAGGGUGGAGGCCUGGAGAGCAGUUGUUCCAGCAUAGUGUUUACAUAGCUUUUAUUUAAUUCCGUUUUCUUUCCUUUGUUGCUUUAUUAGCUAUAACCCUUCUCUUAUUUCAGUGGCAGCUUUAGGGUUUCUGGGAUACAUCUUUAAUUUAUCACAUUCUGCUUUCAAGUGCAAUUAUACCUCCCUUUCUGGCCUUUAUCCUAGUGUUACGUAUUUUUACUUUAUGCAUUAUAAGUUUUGUGAUUAUCAUUACUUUCAUUUAUUAUGUCAAAUAUUUUUAAAAAGAUUUAAAUUAUAAGAAAAUGUGUAGUACAUGCUUUCUAAAUGCCAUUUCCAAUAUUUGUUUUUGUAUAGGUCCAGAUUUUUAUCUGGGAUCCUUUUGCUUCUGCCUGGAGGACUUUUAAUAAGAUUUCUUGUAACGUGGGUUGGUGAAUUGUUUUAGCUUUUGUAUGUUUUUCGAUGUCCUUAUUUCACUCACAGUUUUGAAAUUUUAUUUUUGCAUAGAAUUCUAGGUUAACUUUUUUUCUCUGGGUACUUUAAAAAUGUUACCAUUUAUGAAGCAUUGCCAUUAUAAUAUCAUCUUUCUUUCCUGUGUUUGUAAGAAUGGCAUAAAGCCGGUUUCUUGCGGUGGUUAUAUAAUUUUCAGAAUGUGUACUUAAAUUUAAAAUAUUAAAUUUUAC